GACGGCAGCACAGUAAGAGCUUGCUCUUAUGGGUGGCGAGUGGCGGACGGGUGAGGAAUACAUCGGAAUCUACUCUUUCGUGGGGGAUAACGUAGGGAAACUUACGCUAAUACCGCAUACGACCUACGGGUGAAAGCGGAGGACCUUCGGGCUUCGCGCGAUUGAAUGAGCCGAUGUCGGAUUAGCUAGUUGGCGGGGUAAAGGCCCACCAAGGCGACGAUCCGUAGCUGGUCUGAGAGGAUGAUCAGCCACACUGGAACUGAGACACGGUCCAGACUCCUACGGGAGGCAGCAGUGGGGAAUAUUGGACAAUGGGCGCAAGCCUGAUCCAGCCAUGCCGCGUGGGUGAAGAAGGCCUUCGGGUUGUAAAGCCCUUUUGUUGGGAAAGAAAAGCAGUCGGUUAAUACCCGAUUGUUCUGACGGUACCCAAAGAAUAAGCACCGGCUAACUUCGUGCCAGCAGCCGCGGUAAUACGAAGGGUGCAAGCGUUACUCGGAAUUACUGGGCGUAAAGCGUGCGUAGGUGGUGGUUUAAGUCUGUUGUGAAAGCCCUGGGCUCAACCUGGGAAUUGCAGUGGAUACUGGGUCACUAGAGUGUGGUAGAGGGUAGCGGAAUUCCCGGUGUAGCAGUGAAAUGCGUAGAGAUCGGGAGGAACAUCCGUGGCGAAGGCGGCUACCUGGACCAACACUGACACUGAGGCACGAAAGCGUGGGGAGCAAACAGGAUUAGAUACCCUGGUAGUCCACGCCCUAAACGAUGCGAACUGGAUGUUGGGUGCAAUUUGGCACGCAGUAUCGAAGCUAACGCGUUAAGUUCGCCGCCUGGGGGAGUACGGUCGCAAGACUGAAACUCAAGGAUUUGACGGGGGCCCGCACAAGCGGUGGAGUAUGUGGUUUAAUUCGAUGCAACGCGAAGAACCUUACCUGG
RNAcentral lists this ribosomal RNA (927 nucleotides) under Xanthomonas campestris. RNAcentral's name for it is "bacterial SSU rRNA". It matches the Rfam family "Bacterial small subunit ribosomal RNA", at positions 65 to 978 of the family's 1533-position model. The record is from RNAcentral. Lineage: Bacteria; Pseudomonadati; Pseudomonadota; Gammaproteobacteria; Lysobacterales; Lysobacteraceae.